This 253-nucleotide long non-coding RNA is filed under the name Lathyrus oleraceus (garden pea). Its description in RNAcentral is "Pisum sativum (pea) long non-coding RNA (PSAT_LNC030578)". The record is from RNAcentral. Lineage: Eukaryota; Viridiplantae; Streptophyta; Magnoliopsida; Fabales; Fabaceae.
UUUUGGGGUAGAAAAAGGGGUGUUACAGUCACAACCCCUUCAAAUCAAACGAACAGAAGUCACACGAUAUUUUCCAACAAAAGAAAAAGAAACGAGAAAUACAAAAAUAAAAAAUAAAGAAAGCCCGCUAAGUCGAAAACUCAAAAAUGGUUGACUUAGGCAAAAAUUAGGGCAUCCCCGUGGAUUGCAAACUGGAAUCAAUCCAACAAAAUUAGGGAAAUAAAAAAAACUAAAGGAAAAGAGGAAUCAAAAU